This 46-nucleotide non-coding RNA is filed under the name Trichobilharzia regenti. Lineage: Eukaryota; Metazoa; Platyhelminthes; Trematoda; Strigeidida; Schistosomatidae. The record is from RNAcentral.
GUGCUGAUGAAGAGUCCCAAACUAGGACGAAACGGUUGUCCAGUAC